This 373-nucleotide ribosomal RNA is filed under the name uncultured Scutellospora. RNAcentral's name for it is "SSU rRNA". It matches the Rfam family "Eukaryotic small subunit ribosomal RNA", at positions 569 to 947 of the family's 1831-position model. The record is from RNAcentral. Lineage: Eukaryota; Fungi; Glomeromycota; Glomeromycetes; Diversisporales; Gigasporaceae.
AGCAGCCGCGGUAAUUCCAGCUCCAAUAGCGUAUAUUAAAGUUGUUGCAGUUAAAAAGCUCGUAGUUGAAUUUCGGGAUUCUACCGUCGGUCGGGCUACCAAGUCUGUACUGGUGUGUAGAAUUCCUACCUUCUGGGGAACCAUCAUGUUAUUAAUUUAGCGUGGUGGGAAACCAGGACCUUUACCUUGAAAAAAUUAGAGUGUUCAAAGCAGGCUUAUGUCUGAAUACAUUAGCAUGGAAUAAUAGAAUAGGACAGUGGUCCUGUUUUGUUGGUUUCUGAAUCACCGUAAUGAUUAAUAGGGAUAGUUGGGGGCAUUAGUAUUCAAUUGUCAGAGGUGAAAUUCUUGGAUUUAUUGAAGACUAACUUCUGCG